Molecule: ribosomal RNA, 484 nt
Filed under: uncultured bacterium
Lineage: Bacteria
Description: partial 16S ribosomal RNA
Rfam family: Bacterial small subunit ribosomal RNA
Source: RNAcentral
AUUGAACGCUGGCGGCAGGCCUAACACAUGCAAGUCGAGCGGAUGAAGGGAGCUUGCUCCUGGAUUCAGCGGCGGACGGGUGAGUAAUGCCUAGGAAUCUGCCUGGUAGUGGGGGAUAACGUCCGGAAACGGGCGCUAAUACCGCAUACGUCCUGAGGGAGAAAGUGGGGGAUCUUCGGACCUCACGCUAUCAGAUGAGCCUAGGUCGGAUUAGCUAGUUGGUGGGGUAAAGGCCUACCAAGGCGACGAUCCGUAACUGGUCUGAGAGGAUGAUCAGCCACACUGGAACUGAGACACGGUCCAGACUCCUACGGGAGGCAGCAGUGGGGAAUAUUGGACAAUGGGCGAAAGCCUGAUCCAGCCAUGCCGCGUGUGUGAAGAAGGUCUUCGGAUUGUAAAGCACUUUAAGUUGGGAGGAAGAGCAGUAAGUUAAUACCUUGCUGUUUUGACGUUACCAACAGAAUAAGCACCGGCUAACUUCGUG